RNAcentral lists this ribosomal RNA (345 nucleotides) under Triticum aestivum (bread wheat). RNAcentral's name for it is "partial small subunit ribosomal RNA". Lineage: Eukaryota; Viridiplantae; Streptophyta; Magnoliopsida; Poales; Poaceae. The record is from RNAcentral.
AUGUGUAAUGCAGUUGUGCAUGAUCUUUCAUACUGCCUACUUGAACAUUGUUUUGUUUGUCAUGGUGGAGCAUGCAUGGUUUAUACAAAGCUUUUGCUCCAUGUCAAUUUUUCUUUUGCAGUAAUUUGUCAGUCAGUGAAGGGGAGCCUUGGCGCAGUGGUAAAGCUGCUGCCUUGUGACCAAGAGGUCACGGGUUCAAGUCCUGGAAACAGCCUCUUACAGAAAUGUAGGGAAAGGCUGCGUACUAUAGACCCAAAGUGGUCGGACCCUUCCCCGGACCCUGCGCAAGCGGGAGCUACAUGCACCGGGCUGCCCUUUUUUAGUAAUUUGUCAGUCAGUCAUUAG